Molecule: long non-coding RNA, 216 nt
Organism: Mus musculus (house mouse)
Lineage: Eukaryota; Metazoa; Chordata; Mammalia; Rodentia; Muridae
Product: predicted gene, 30209
Exons: 3
Source: RefSeq, a predicted model, not a curated record
ACCGAAUGCGUGAUUCCGUGAGAGCCGCUCAGGAAACUGGUGCUUUUAGACCCUCAGCCCCAGUCUGCAAAGAAGGCCUGGAGGGGAGAUGCCAGGACAGCCACUGUUGUGCAGUCCACACUGGAGGACCGGGACAGCUGUGUUCAGUUGUCAGGGAAGGAAUGCAACUGCACUGGCCAUCAACAGAGUUGACAUACAACCAGCAAGCAAAAGUGG